CAAUAGCGUAUAUUAAAGUUGCUGCAGUUAAAAAGCUCGUAGUUGGAUCUCGGGCGCGAGCUAGUGGUCUUCCAUCCGGUUGUCACUACUAGUCUCGGCCUAACUGCCGAUUUUCUAUGGAUGCUCUUUACUGGGUGUUCAUAGUAAUCGGAACGUUUACUUUGAAAAAAUUAGAGUGCUCAAAGCAGGCGUCAGCCUGGAUACUGUUGCAUGGAAUAAUGGAAUAGGAUCUCGGUUCUAUUUUGUUGGUUUUCGGAACUUGAGAUAAUGAUUAAGAGGGACAGACGGGGGCAUUCGUAUUGCGCCGUUAGAGGUGAAAUUCUUGGAUCGGCGCAAGACGAACAACUGCGAAAGCAUUUGCCAAGAAUGUCUUCAUUAAUCAAGAACGAAAGUCAGAGGUU
RNAcentral lists this ribosomal RNA (401 nucleotides) under Gastrotricha sp. MM01390. Its description in RNAcentral is "SSU rRNA". It matches the Rfam family "Eukaryotic small subunit ribosomal RNA", at positions 592 to 998 of the family's 1831-position model. Lineage: Eukaryota; Metazoa; Gastrotricha. The record is from RNAcentral.